This 357-nucleotide ribosomal RNA is filed under the name uncultured Faecalibacterium sp. RNAcentral's name for it is "bacterial SSU rRNA". It matches the Rfam family "Bacterial small subunit ribosomal RNA", at positions 355 to 729 of the family's 1533-position model. Lineage: Bacteria; Bacillati; Bacillota; Clostridia; Eubacteriales; Oscillospiraceae. The record is from RNAcentral.
UGGGGAAUAUUGCACAAUGGGGGAAACCCUGAUGCAGCGACGCCGCGUGGAGGAAGAAGGUCUUCGGAUUGUAAACUCCUGUUGUUGAGGAAGAUAAUGACGGUACUCAACAAGGAAGUGACGGCUAACUACGUGCCAGCAGCCGCGGUAAAACGUAGGUCACAAGCGUUGUCCGGAAUUACUGGGUGUAAAGGGAGCGCAGGCGGGAAGGCAAGUUGGAAGUGAAAUCCAUGGGCUCAACCCAUGAACUGCUUUCAAAACUGUUUUUCUUGAGUAGUGCAGAGGUAGGCGGAAUUCCCGGUGUAGCGGUGGAAUGCGUAGAUAUCGGGAGGAACACCAGUGGCGAAGGCGGCCUAC